Molecule: ribosomal RNA, 899 nt
Filed under: Keithomyces carneus
Lineage: Eukaryota; Fungi; Ascomycota; Sordariomycetes; Hypocreales; Clavicipitaceae
Description: partial large subunit ribosomal RNA
Rfam family: Eukaryotic large subunit ribosomal RNA
Source: RNAcentral
GCAUAUCAAUAAGCGGAGGAAAAGAAACCAACAGGGAUUGCCCCAGUAACGGCGAGUGAAGCGGCAACAGCUCAAAUUUGAAAUCUGGCCCCCAGGGUCCGAGUUGUAAUUUGCAGAGGAUGCUUUUGGCAAGGUGCCUUCCGAGUUCCCUGGAACGGGACGCCAUAGAGGGUGAGAGCCCCGUCUGGUUGGAUACCGAGCCUCUGUAAAGCUCCUUCGACGAGUCGAGUAGUUUGGGAAUGCUGCUCUAAAUGGGAGGUAUAUGUCUUCUAAAGCUAAAUAUUGGCCAGAGACCGAUAGCGCACAAGUAGAGUGAUCGAAAGAUGAAAAGCACUUUGAAAAGAGGGUUAAAUAGUACGUGAAAUUGUUGAAAGGGAAGCGCUCAUGACCAGACUUGGGCCCGGUGAAUCAUCCAGCGCUCGUCGCUGGUGCACUUUGCCGGGCUCAGGCCAGCAUCAGUUCGCUCCGGGGGACAAAGGCUCUGGGAAUGUGGCUCCUCCGGGAGUGUUAUAGCCCACUGCGCAAUACCCUGGGGCGGACUGAGGUUCGCGCAUUCGUGCAAGGAUGCUGGCGUAAUGGUCAUCAGUGACCCGUCUUGAAACACGGACCAAGGAGUCGUCUUCGUAUGCAAGUGUUCGGGUGUAAAACCCCUACGCGUAAUGAAAGUGAACGCAGGUGAGAGCUUCGGCGCAUCAUCGACCGAUCCUGAUGUUCUCGGAUGGAUUUGAGUAAGAGCAUACGGGGCCGGACCCGAAAGAAGGUGAACUAUGCCUGUAUAGGGUGAAGCCAGAGGAAACUCUGGUGGAGGCUCGCAGCGGUUCUGACGUGCAAAUCGAUCGUCAAAUAUGGGCAUGGGGGCGAAAGACUAAUCGAACCUUCUAGUAGCUGGUUUCCGCCGA